UACGUAGGAUGCAAGCGUUGUCCGGAAUUAUUGGGCGUAAAGAGCUCGUAGGUGGCCUGUCGCGUCGGCUGUGAAAACUCGGGGCUCAACUCCGAGCUUGCAGUCGAUACGGGCAGGCUAGAGUUCGGCAGGGGAGACUGGAAUUCCUGGUGUAGCGGUGAAAUGCGCAGAUAUCAGGAGGAACACCGGUGGCGAAGGCGGGUCUCUGGGCCGAUACUGACACUGGGGAGCGAAAGCGUGGGGAGCGAACAGG
RNAcentral lists this ribosomal RNA (253 nucleotides) under uncultured bacterium. Its description in RNAcentral is "partial 16S ribosomal RNA". It matches the Rfam family "Bacterial small subunit ribosomal RNA", at positions 524 to 776 of the family's 1533-position model. The record is from RNAcentral.